This 75-nucleotide transfer RNA is filed under the name Desulfuromonadales bacterium C00003096. RNAcentral's name for it is "tRNA-Met". It matches the Rfam family "tRNA". Rfam says of the family: Transfer RNA (tRNA) molecules are approximately 80 nucleotides in length. Their secondary structure includes four short double-helical elements and three loops (D, anti-codon, and T loops). The record is from RNAcentral. Lineage: Bacteria; Pseudomonadati; Thermodesulfobacteriota; Desulfuromonadia; Desulfuromonadales. RNAcentral also lists the same sequence under 3 other names.
GGGCCCGUAGCUUAGUACGGUUAGAGCGCCCGGCUCAUAACCGGGCGGCCAAGGGUUCAAAUCCCUUCGGGCCCA